Molecule: long non-coding RNA, 19699 nt
Filed under: Coffea arabica (coffee)
Lineage: Eukaryota; Viridiplantae; Streptophyta; Magnoliopsida; Gentianales; Rubiaceae
Description: long non-coding RNA (CARA_LNC003539)
Source: RNAcentral
GGAAAGUCAUGUACCUGAGCUGCUGGGGACCAAAUUGAUCGAGCCCCACCACUAAAACUACUAGGCAGUUUGUAAUUUUAAGAUACAUGGGGUGAUGUAAAACUGGAAAUUUUGGUAAUUUCCUAGCUACAAAAUUGUAAAUUUAAAAUUUGAGGCCCUUUUUUGCAAUGAAUUUGAAUAGAAAAUCCAUUUCUUUGUUAAAUUACGGGUUCUGUUAUUAUUCCUUAACUAAAUUAAUUGCAUUAGCAUCUCACGGAGCAGCAGAACUGCUUCAUUUUCCUUUUCAAGAAAUGCGUAAAUAUCCUUCAAGUAAUAAGAAUUAUUGUCCAUUUCACCAAAAAUUUCUCAAAUGCACGAGUAAACUCCAAAAAAGAAUGUUGUUUCUUUUUUUUUCCCCCGGUUGAAUCUAGAACGUUGUUGAUACUUGAUUGGUUAAUAUAUAGGAGCUAUCUAAACGGAGAGAAAAUACUCUCAUAUGUAAAUCCAAGACUUAGAUAGACUACAGAAAGUGUUACUUCUGGCGCAUACUACGUCUCCGUCCCAAAAUUCUAACAAGACAAAUGGCCAUUGGCCAACAGCUUCUUUGUAAUUCCAAGUUGCUAUCGCACUGUCUGGGUACAGUGCACCUAUUACAACUAACUAGUUAUAAAACCGGGUGCUCAUUCAUUGUCAACCAUGUACAGCUAGUUUUGUUAUGUUCACUCCCAUAGAUGUGAUUAACUACCGCAUUACAGGGGAAGCAUUACAAUGAUGUAUUUAGCCCAACUCGGGUAGCUCGAGUGAUUUCGUUGCUCCUCUUUAGAAUAUGGCGACCACGGUUUGAGUCCCGAGGAAAUCGUGUUCGAAAGGAACGGGUCUCUCUUCUCGGGUCACAGGAGGAGUAGUAGGGCCGAAGGCCCGGAUACCCCUAGAUCAGAAAAAAAAAAUUACAAUGAUGUAUUUAUCUGAUUUGGAGGUUCGCUCUCCAACUCUUUUGCAAUGGAGUAUUGUGCUUCCUUUCUUUAUAAAAUUCAGAGCACAGUAAUGCAUUUAUCUGAAUUGGAGGUUUGCUCUCCAACUCUUAUACAAAUCCAGUUAGGCUCAUCCUCUCUCUUAUAGUGUAGCAGCAGUCUUCAUCGUUGUAUCCAAAAUUAAUCUCUUUUAUUCAAAUUCAAAUUAACCUGAUAUGCUCCAUCGAUUGCUUGCUUGGUGCUAUUGAUCUGAUAAUUGCAGGAAACAAGUCCCCUAUUUUGUACAAUGAAAGUGUGAUAGAGACGUCAAUCGUAAACUUUUCCAUCCUAAUUAUAGACAGGAUUGUAGUCAUCCAAGAGAAAAUCUCAAAUAUACAUUGAAUAUGUUUGCUUAUUGAUUAUGAACAAAACAAAUAAAAGUAAAGUUGUAUCUGAAUGGAAUUAGCCUUUUGUAUAUGUGACAUGGGUACAAGUAAUCAAUAACUCCUAAUGAUUGAUUACCCUCUCAAUGCUAAGUCAAGAAGAAGAUAGUUUAGAUAGAGUAUUAUUUGAAAUAAUUAUUAUAGCAUUUUUUAUGAUGUGCACAUGAGAUUAAAAAAUAGUUGAAAACAUUAACAAUUAUGGUUAAAAAAUAUAUUUAUGAUGCUAACAAAAUAAUAUUUAGGUAUAAUUUCAGAAACCUUCCUUGGGGUUUUUGACAAUUACACAUAAAUACUCUCCAAUAUCAAAAAUUACAGUGCCCUCCCCUUAAUUGACAUAUUUGAUAACAAAUUAAGUCCAUGUUAGAAAAAGUACUCUUAAAGUAAUGAAUCAGUUUUGUCAAACAAUUAUAUUUCAAGUUUGCCCUCAUUGAAUCUUAAAGAAAAUAAGUUAAAAUUUUGGGCAAGAAAAAUGGCAAUAAAAAAAGGAAGAAAAAUUGGCACCAAGUUCAUCCGCUAAGGACAUGAAAUUAACAUUAAACAAAUCAGCAUUUUGGACAGCAAAGUCCUACAAGAAUUGAUGGUACUUUGUGGACAAUAUAUAGCAUAAAAUGCUAGUGAAUGAGCACAAAAAAAAAAAAGAGGCCAAUUUCAACUGAAUACAAAGGCAAUGAAAGAAACAUGUCUUCAUCAAACUAUCGUCGGAGCUCAUUUCAUGCAGGCACAUCAUUGAGGAUGAAAAAUAGAAACUAUAAUGGGUGUGGAUGGAAAGCAACAAUUAAAAUUUUUUAAAGCAAAAAAAAAAAUUCCUGGCAGGUUAUAUUUUGGUUGUUCUAAGUAUGGCUAUUUCAAGUGGUUUGAUGGCAAUGUAGCCAAAGAAGUGAGUAGUCGAAGACAAGAAGAUCCAACACAAGUUCAAAUAUCAAAAAGCAUUGGCAACAAUGUAGUGUCACCGACCCAAAUAUUGAUAAUGAUCAACAUGAGUUUACUAAUUAUAUUCAUUUUCAUUCAAAUUGUAAAGUUCAUUUGAAAUAUGGAUAUAAUUGUAAGAAUGUACCACAAAAAGUGUCUUGGUAGUUAUAUAGUGGCAGAACUAAAAGGCCAUAAAACGGUGGAUUUAAAUUCAUCUAUGAUAUUUAGUAAGAGUUUAUCUACUGUGAUUCAAAAUCAAAGAUUCUAGAUGUACAAAGCACUAUAAACUAAAUAAACUAAAACAAGUCUUAAAUAUAAUAAACAACAAGGUCAUACACUUCAAACUGGUUGAAUACCCAUAACAAGCAAUCCAAGGCAAGAAAAACAUGUCAACAAGGUUAUACACUUAAUGGCGCCAAAUUGCAUAUAAAAAUACUAUACUUGGAAAACUAGUCUUUUCCCCAUAUUUUUAGUAUUUUAGGGAUUGAUUUUGUGGGCUGUUGAAUAUGACAACCGGUCAUAUCAAAGUGAAAGAGGAGGGCACUGUAAUUUUUUAUAUUGGAAGGUAUUUAUGUGUAAUUGUCAGAAACUUCAGGGGAGGUUUCUGAAAUUAUCCCUAAUAUUUAUACUAUAUAUAAAGGGAGCCUUAAAUUUGAUGUAAACUUUUUUUUGUCAUCUUUUAGAUUUCCAGCUUCACCCUCUCGAUCACUUAAUUAUACCACCAUAUUGCUAAUCAACUUAACCACAAAUUAACUUUCACCCCAAUUAUCUAAAUAUAUAUUGCCUACAUAACUACCUACAAACAUUGUAACCAACAAGUUAAUUAAAAUUCUAUUAAAGAACUAUUUUUUUGACAAAUAUUCAAAAAACUAGUAAAAGAUCAAAAUUUACUUGUUCAUGUAUGAAAAUUUUAUACUAAAUUCUUUCAUAUAAAGGAUCGUUCCGAAAUUCCACAUACAUCGAGUGUGCCUUUAUCGCUAAUUUGAGAUAAUAUGUGUAUCCAAACAUAGUAAUAAUUUCUUCUAUUCUUUGCUUUGUUCGGUAAAAUGGAUUAAAAAAGCAAAUGAAAAAUACCCCACUCGACCUUUACAAAACCGCCCUCCCCAAAGUCAGUGGAUAAAUACCACAGCCCAUGAGCCCACUAGAAAUUUAAAAAACCAUAAACUCCAAGACCACUGGAAAAGCACCCAGCCCCUGGUUUCUGCAACAACUUAUUUACACAAACUUUUGAGAUGACAGAAUAUAAAUAUGGCUGAACUCCCCAACAACAUCAGCACCAAAGAACAUCUUCUCAGAAUUCAGAAAAACAUCUCUAGUACUCAACCAAGCUUCAAGAGUUCCAGAAAGACUCCAUCAUCAACAAGGAAUCUUUACAGUUUUAAAAUUUAUUCUUGCUGAAAAUGAGUUCAACAAGCAGGGCGUGGAUAGCAGCGGUGAGUGUAGGCGCAGUGGAGGCAAUGAAAGAUCAGGGAUUGAAUAGGUGGAACCACACCAUGAGGUCUGUACACCAGCUUGCCAAGAACAACCUCAGGUCCCUGUCUCAGACCAAGCAGCUUUCUCCUUCUGCAUUGGCUUCAUCAAGCAGUAAAGCUAAAGAUCAAGAAAAACUAAAGAAGUCUGAAGAAUCAUUAAGGAAAGUCAUGUACUUGAGCUGCUGGGGACCAAAUUGAUUGAGCCCCCCAUUAGUACUACUAUUUGUAAUUUUUUUUACAUACAUGGGGCGAUGUAAAACUGGAAAUUUUGGUAAUUUUGUACCCACAAAAUUGUAAAUUUUAAAAUUUAUGGCAUUUUUUGCCCAAUGAAUUGGAAUAGAAAAUUGAUGUGUUCUUUAAUGUGCAAUUUCAGUUUAGCAUUUCUUAAUGGGGUUAACUGCAUUAGCAUCUCGAGGAGGUGUGAUAGAUUAAAAUUGAUUAGAUUAAAAUGUAGGUUAAUCCAAGCCGCCUUAAUUGACAAGAGAAAUAAAGAGUGACAAAAUUGUGGGGUCAAUGUAUUGGCAAACAACGCAUGAUUGAGUAUAACACAGACGACUUCAUUAAGCAGUAUUAUUAGUAGUUUAGGCCCGAGAUAUUCACCUUUUUUGUUUUGUCAAAACCCGAGGAUAUUCACUUGGCUUUAUUGGAUCCGUAUUUUCUCAAUGUACUUUAGGCUUCCAAAGAGGCUAAUAAGAUUGAGUAUUGUUUAACUCAUCAUGCAAAAACUGCCAAUCUUCUUAAAAAUCUAUGGAAUUCAUCGCCAAGUUUUGUCAAGUAAAUCGUGUUGAACGAUAUCUACCAAUCUCAUUAAUAAAGUUUCCUGUUUUAUAAAAAAAAAAAAAAAAAAAGUAUUACCAUCUACUACAUGGCCUCAUUUUUAGACUGAUUUUCAAAACUUGAUUUUAGAUUUUAAUUUUAAAAAAAUUAUUUUAUUGUGUUCUCAAUUGCUGUUCAUAUUUUGAUUUUGAGUUUUUUUAGCUUUAAAAAAUUAAAAAUUAGAAGCAUCUAUUUUGAUAUUUUUUAUUUUAAUUUUCCAAAAUUAGUUCUUAUACAAUCAAAAACAGUUGGGAACAAGGCCAAUAACUUGUUUGUCUAUUUUUAUUCAAUAGGAAGGACUUAUGUUCUCAUUGUUAAUUACUUCAAGUAUUAACAAUGCUUGCACUCAAGAUUAAAUCUCUUAUACUUGAAAGUCUGUUGUGGCUAAUUCUCAUAGAAUUAAAUUAACCCAUAGUAGCCAUACACUUGUUCUUCUAUUUUUAAGAUUUUGGAAUUUUCGCGUGGGUACUUAGGUGAUUUUUAUACACGCGCCACUUUGUACAAUGACCAUAACUUACAAGUUCGCCUUAAACCUUUUUUUUUUUUUUUUUGGAAGGAAUUCACCUUAAACGUUUCUCUCGUAAUAUUUAGAAUUAUAGUUCUCGUCAUUCUUGAGAAAAUAAAAGUAUACAUCAAAUAUGUACGUUGCUAACCAAUUAUGAAUAAAGUAAAUAAAACUAAAGGUCUACUAAAAUGGAAAUAAGAUUGCACAUAACGCAUUAUGCAAAUUUUGCCUUUUUGAAUGUCUUAGAAUUUUCUUCCGUCAAGAAAGCAGUGGUGAACAAUUUUCAACAAUCUUAUUGAUAAAACUCUUUUGUUAUAUUAAAAAAAGUUAUUAAAAUGGAAUUAGUCCUUUGUAUAUUUGACUGGGGGUGCCAAUUGGGAUUUCGUAAUCAGGUUUUAACAAAUCCAAAUUCGAUUCACAAAUGAUAUAGGUUUUUUGAUCUUCGGGCAUUCGGGUUUGAAGUUCAAAUUAAAAGGUUCGAUCUCAAUUCUCAUUGUUAAAUGAGUUUCAGGUUCAAAUCAGACUUGACUCAAACUCAUAGUUAAAUACAAAAUUAUAUAUAAUAUAUUUAUAAUUAUGAAUCACUAUAAAUUUAUAUAUAAAUUAUUAUGUCAUAGAUAUUUAUAAUUACACACACACAUUCAUAUAUGAGCCGGGUAUUAGCUGUGUUCGAUUCUAGCAUGAUUCAAAUUCGAUUUUACAUUUAGGGUGUAUUUGAUAAAAUUGAAAUCUGAAAUCUGAAUCCAUUAAGUUAUUAAAUUAUUAAGUAUUAAAUCUAAUACAUUUCAAUGCAUAUCACAUUCAACGAUAAGUUAAUAACUUAUCACUUAAUUUUGGGAGCAAGUUUUAAUUAGAAAAUCUAAUACCACUUAAUUAAUUCAAAUGUUCAAUUUUUUUUAUCAUCAAAUAAUCUGAAUAUAUUAAGAUCUGAUUCCAUUAAGUUUAAGGGUUGAAUUUGAUUAUCAAAUAGGGCCUUAGUUCCGGUCUAAUAUUAAGGCUAAACUCUAUCUAGUCCAAAUAAAAAUUAGUCCAGCGGUUUUUUUGAGCCAAAUAAGCCGAGCUCGAACUGUUCUAAUCCCAUUGACAACCCUAUAUUUGACAUGGGUACGACUAAUCAGUAACUCCAAAUAAUUUAUUACCCUUUCAAUGCUAAGUGAAGAAGAAGAUAACAAUUCCCUCUUUUCUUCUUAUCUUUCAAUGCUACGUAAUUCCAAAAUUGGCCGCUUGAUUUCCUGGAAACCGUGCUCUCCAGAGCCAGUUGAGCACGCCACAGCCCUGAGCCCACAAGAACUUUAAAAAACCACACUCUCCUAGACCACUGGAAAGCUACAGAGCCCCUGGUUUUUUGCAACAAUCAUCAUACACAAACACACACAAACUUCAGAGAAUCUGUGUAUAUAUAUGACUGAACCUCCCAACAGCUCCAUCACCAAACACAUCUUCUUCUCAGAAUUCUAAAAGCAUCUGCAGCACUCAACUAAAGACUUGUAUCAUCAACAAGGAGUCAAUCUUUCAGUUUAACUACGUUCUUGCUGAAAAUGAGUUCAACAACCAGGGCAUGGAUAGCAGCAGUAAGUGUAGGAGCAGUGCAGGCAAUGAAAGAUCAGGGACUGUACAGGUGGAACCACACCAUUAGGUCAAUGCAGCAGCUUGCCAAGAACAACCUCAGGUCCUUGUCUCAGACCAAGCAGCUCUCUCCUGCAUUGGCUUCAUCAAGCAUUAAAGUUAAAGAUCAAGAAAAAAUUAGGCAGUCUGAAGAAUCAUUAAGGAAAGUCAUGUACUUGAGCUGUUGGGGUCCAAAUUGAUUGAGCCCCCCCACUAGUACUAUUUAGUUUUGUAAUUUUAGAUAUAUGGGGUGAUGUAAAACUGGAAAUUUUGGUAAUUUUCUACCUACAAAAUUGUAAAUUAUAUGAUUUUAAGACAUUUUUUGCAAAUGUCUUUCUUUAAAUAUGGUCUCUAUAAUCACUGCUUAGUUGAAUUAAUUAAUUGCAUUAGCAUCUCAAUGGGUGGCAGAGUUAAUGGGGUUGAGCUCAGGCAGCCAUACCACCAAAAUUGGUAUAUUUUGCUAUUGAAGAAAUGCGAAUUUUGCUAUAUAUCCUCCAUGUCAUAAAAAAAAUUCUUCCCUUUCACCAAAAUUUUCAUGGCGACACAAGUAAACUCCAGAAGAGAACUCCUAGCCCCAGGUAUGGAUGCUUGCCUUUGGAAUUAUCAAGAAUUUGCUUUCCACUGAUCUCGCCAAAGAAUAUGUAUGAGGUUUUUCUUCCUUUUUUUUUUUGGUUUAAUAAAAGAGUGAUACGUUAUUUUUUAUGCUCGACAUGAAAUGAUAGGGAAAAAAAAAACUUUUGCACAUAGAUACAUAGGAUCGGUCCGCAAUCAAUACGCCCGGAUAAAGGAAAAAAAAGAAGGUGAAAAUUUGCAAUUUUUUUUCCCUGAGAAUUGCAAUAUUGUUUUGAUAUUUGAAAGGUUAAUAUUUAGGUGCUGUCCAAAUCGAAAGCAAAUACUGGCGUAUGUAAAUCCAAGGCUAAAUUGAUUAAAGAUGUGUUUCUUCCUAUUGUUCUUGCUUUUGGCCCAUACUUGACGGUUGAUACUUCCGCUCCAUCCCAUUUCCUAAAACGAGACAAAUAGCCAACAGCUUAUUUGUCAUUCCAAGAUCCUAUCCAAUUGGCUGCAAAACCGUGUGCUCGUUGUCAUUGUCAACCAUAACUAGCAUGUCCAUUUUUUCUUUUGUUCUAAAAUUAUCUUCUGUCCCAAAAUUAUCUUCGAUCUCAUCUGUUUGAUGAGAUCUGGUCCGUGUUAUACACGUAACAGCUAUAUAAAUACGAAACAAAUCAAAUAGAAGGUAAUUUGUGAACAGAAGAUUUGAAACGUGUAUUUUAUAUUGGAUAUGGAAGAGUAUCUCAUUGGAAGUUAAGUACUACAAUAACAUACUUAAAAAUGCACUCAAGACUAUCUCUUAUACAUCAAAGUCUAUGGUGGGCAAUUUCCAUAAAAUGAAUCCAAUAUAACCACUUUUUCUUCUAUUUUUAAGUGUUCUUUCUCAAUUUUAGAGUUUUCCCUUCUGUACUUAAAUGGAUUUUUCCACCCCCACUCUACUUUGUAGGUCUAGAGAUUUAAUUUGUAAUCACUAGUGCUAAUUGCACUAUAUAAUGUGGAUAGUAUCACAGUAGAUACGGACACGGACUUGACCCGGACACCCCACUCCGUCGACCAAAAAAAAAAAAAAAAAAAAAAAAAGAUACGGACACGGACUUAAUAGAAGUAAAUCCUAAGAUGAUAACAUACAAAAUCAUCUAACAAAUUUUGUAAUUUAAUGGAAUUUGUGUCCCAAAGUUAAUUUUAUACAUCCAAAUUCGCAUUAUAUCAACGCUGGCCAUGAAUCAUAUGGUGCUGUUGACCUCACAAUCAAACCAAAAGCAGUUCCAUGUUUUUUUGUACAAUUGAGUGUAGCAAAGAGGUCCACCUUAGAUUUUUGGGAUAAUUUCAAAAGCCCCACUGAGGUUUCUAACAAUUUCAUUGAGCUCCCUGAGGUUUGGAAACUUACACAUACCUUCCUUGAUUUGAUAGUUUUAGUAACAAAAUCUUAAAAUAUCAUUGACUUGAUCAAAUUUUUAAAUGAAUACCCAAAAAUGCCCCUGUGUAAUGAGUUUUAAUUUAUUUAUCCAUACAAUUAUAAGAUUAUCUAAUAUAAUUAUAAGAAAAUGUGCCAAAAUUUUUAUGUUCAUACCUACUAUUUGAUAAACAACUAUAAUAAUAAUUUUAUCAUUAUGAUAGAAUACUUUUGAUGGUAUUUUAUUAUGGAUUUAAAUAAUUCAUUUAAAGUUUAUGAAUUUUUCGAGUAGUGGGAUUAUCAUAAUUUAGUAGUGGUUUUGGGCCAUUUUCUUUUGAUUUAUUGUUAAUUUUAAUACCAAAAAAUAGAAAACAAUGAUUAGCAAAAACAUUGGAUUGCAUAAAAAGUUAAUUCAUCAAAAAAAUCACUAGUUCGACAUUUGGUUACAAUAGAAUUAGAGAUAAUAGUAGUAGUUCUACAAUUUUAUUGGCAAAAAAUUAAAAAAAAAAGGAAUAAGAAGGAAAAAGAAUAUAAAAAUAAUUUAAAAAGUCAUUCUAAGUAUAAACAUACCAAACAAGGAAAUUUCAUUAAAAUAUUUAAGGGUAGUAUUGUCAUUUUAAAUAAAAAGGAGGUAUGUGUAAUUUUUAAAAUCUUAAGGAGCUAAAUGAAAUUGUUAAAAACCUCAAGGGAGGAUUCUGAAAUUAUCCCUAGAUUUAUCCCUCCUAAUCAUAAAUAGAAUUCUCGUCCAAGUGAAAAUAAAAAAAUAUACAUUGGAUAUGUACUUUGCUAACCAACCAUCAAUAAAAUCUAUAAAACUAAAGUUGUAUUAAAAUGGAAUAAGUCUUUUGAUAUGUGACACAGGUACGAGUAAUCAAUAACUUCUCAUAAUUUAUUACCGUCUAAAUGUUAAGUAAAGAAGAAGAAAGUAAUUAAAUUUCUCCUUUUCAUUGCUUUGUUCGGUAAAAUGGACAAAACAAAUCGACUUUAGUGUUUUGAAAAUCGGAUCGAAUUGAUCAGUUCGAUCGAUUAAACAGUGAAUCAGUCAUACCUCCAUUCUGAUUCAAUGAAUAAUAAAAAAAAUCAAUUAAAUCGGUCAAGAAUGAACAAAAAUCGGAAAGUUUAACUGGUUUUUAUUAAAAUUUUUAUUUUUUUAAAAAAUAAAUAGUUUAAUUUUUUAAAAAUUAAUGCUAAAAUAAAUGAAUAAAUAAAAUUUUAAAUCGAGAUUGUACCGAUUGAAUCAAUUGAACAAUUGAACAUUUUUCCAAUUCACUCUUCAGUUCAAAUUUAAUAACAUUGGCCCACUUGACCUCAACAAACCAGCGGAAAAUGACACAGCCCACAAGAACCUACUAGAACAUUGAAAAAAACCAUACUCUCCAAGACCACAGGAAAAUCACACAGCCCCUGGUAUUUGCAUCAAUCCAUUUACACAAACACACAGAAACUUUAGAGAUGACAGAAUAUAUAAAUAUGACCGAACUUCCCAACAACUUGAGCACCAAAAAACACCAUCUUCUCCUCAGAAUUCUAAAAACAUCUCUAGCAUUCAACUAAGUGCCAGAAUAUCCUAAAGACUUCAUCAUCAACAAGGUUGUAUUAGUCUUUCAGUUUAAUUACAUUCUUGCUGAAAAUGCAUUCAAUGCACCAGCUUGCCAAGCAAAACCUCAGGCCCCUGUCUCAGACCAAGCAGCUUUCUCCUUCUGCAUUGGCUUCAUCAAGCAGUAAAGCUAAAGCUCAGGAAAAACUAAAGGGGGCUGAAGAAUCAUUAAGGAAAGUCAUGUACUUGAGCUGCUGGGGUCUCAAUUGAUCGAGCCCCCCAUAUGGCUGCUCUGUAGUUUUAUACGGUAUAUAGGAUGACGGAUAUGGAAAUUUUGUAUCUUUUUGGAUAAACAGAACUGUAGAUUCUAAAAUUUGAGGCCAGUUGUAAUAAAUAGAGCCAUCAAUUCAAAAAAAAAAUUGAGAUCUGCAAUUGUCAUUUUUUUUUUCAUAUAUCCUUUUUGUGUAUCGGUAUCUGGCCAUUUCGGAAACUUGUCUUGAAAGAUGGAAGGAAUAAAAAUCCCAAAAAUGUUAACUGAUGGUAAGUUAAUUAUGUCAUUCUGUUCAACUUAUUCCUGAUAAUAAAAGAAAAAAGUUAAAACUAAUUUGGCUUAAGUAUUUUUUUUUGGUUAUAGAAGUGUGAUAAGCCCACAUCAAACCUUGGCUCAACCAACUUUAUUUGCCUCUACGGGCUAAUCUGUUUUUUUUUUUUUCUCUUGAAAGAUAUGGGCUAAUUUUUAUGACGUCUGAAAGAAAAAUAUAUAUUUUUUGGUUGAUCAUAAAAGUACAAUAUGCCGACAUCACCUUAACCAUAGCACCUUAUAAGUUGGGCUAAAAGACAGUGGCAAGGUGUGAUUACCUGAUUGUGUAUCCUUUGAGCGGUGAAUUGGAAAUUUAAAGGCUAAAUAUGGACACUCAAGAACCAGAAUACUAAUGAUUAGUCAUAUCAUGCUAGGAAAAAAGUACUAAAAGAUUAGACUGAUUAGAGCUAACUUGAGCCAAUUGAACGUAAAGCCAACUAUUUAACAGGAGAACGUACUACUUUAUACCAAUAUUUAUCAUUCUUCAUUUACAGUUAUGCCAAUCUUUUCCCUUUUCUGAACUCAAAGAAACUCCUGCGCUCUACUAGACUACUGCUUGUGCUGUAACUGUAAAUUCUUAAAUAGGAAGCGUGGUCUUCACCAUUAGAUCCUGGGUAGGUCAGUAAAGAAACUUCAAGCCCUUUGCAUAGGUGACCGUUUUGGUCUUCAUGAAAAUACUGUUUUACAAAAAUUAUUCAAAACAUACUUUUAAAGGACAUGGUCAAAGAAAUAGAGCCAUCUGUAUCCCUGGUUAAAUAAUGUCGUACGUGGUAGGAAAAUGCCAAAUUGGACAAAGAUUUCCAGCCGAUUCUUUUAGCCAUAAUCAACAUUUAGCUUUGUUUCUUCUGUUCAUAGUCAUGCAGCAGAGCAAGUAGAUCACUAGUUGUCUUAAUUUUUUCUUGAUGAAGUCCACACCUACUUCCUUUUUCCCAUGUUUAACGUCUACAAUCCUGAAAACAGUAGAAAAGAUGGUGCAAUACUGUAAAUUGUGAUCAAUGUUGUGCUAAAGGAGCUUGUUUGAGUUAAAAAAGAAAAAGAAAAAAAAAGACAGGUUGUUUGAGUUCACGGGCAUUAGGAUCUCAAUAUUGGCGGACUAGGGUCUUUGUGACAAAUACAGUUCGAAAGAAUUACUCUCUCCGUCCUAUUAUUAAUGUCAUGUUUUCACUUGAUGUUUCAAAUAAGAGUUACCAUUUUAAAAUUAACACAUUACUUUUCAAUCUUAUUAUUUAAAAAAGUAACUUUUUAAAAUUUCAAUUCACAUCUAACUAGAGGAUAUUUUGAAUUCAAAGAAUACGUAUGUAAAUUCACUGCUACCGUCUCAUCUGGAUAUAAUGAUUGCUGUGUUUCUAUAAAAAGUUGAAUUUUCAAAAAAUGACUCUAAUAUUGGGACAAAGGAAGUAUACCUUAGUUUCCUCAAAAAUUAUGGGGUGGCUUGCUUCUAUGAGGAUAAGUUUACAAGUUGUCUAUGAUAAAAAAUUCUAAAAUCUCUCAGUGGUCAGGUAACUAAGUGAUCACCAGUUGGGAUUGUAGAUUAUUGUCAUACCAAAGUAACCAAGGGCCAGUGAAGAGCUUUUAGAAUCUUCUCCACCGGGACGCUAUCAGGUUUAGAAUUCGAAUUUUAUGUCUGAUAAUUAGAGGUGGGAGGCGUGGAAGGGUAAAAAAAAAAAAAAAGUAAUCAAUGACCAUGAUCGCCAUGAACGGUUAAGGGGCAAAAAAUCUGGCGAAAAUCUGAGAUUUUGGACAUAAUCAAUAGUCAUUCUCAAACCUCAAAGAAACUGGAUGCACAUACAUAUUUAAUUACUUCUUAAUUGUCCUAAGAAAUGACCAUUGAUGUAGCCACCAUAUCACUUUAAUAAUAUCUGCAUGGAUGAUUUUUCUCUAAACCUUCUAUUAAUUCCUCGACUAUAUAUUUUAAUCAAUUUACUAACUUCUUUUCUUACAAUUCACAUGUAUAUACAAGUCCUGUAUUGACAAUUCACAAGUAAAUAUAUGAGUUAAGUCCUUCUUCUGCAUUGACAAUUCACAAAUAAAUAUAAGUUCUUCUCAAAUUAACCAUCCAUCUGGGCUGAAGCAAAAUUAUAAGAUUCCUCGUGGAAAAUUUUAAUUGCCACUUGUCUGGUUAAUUUAUAUUAGUGAACAUUUUCAACUCCCUAACCAUACGUGGAUUAAUCAAAUCAACGUUGUAAUAUAAUAAUUUAGAAAGGAAAGAAGAAACGUCAUGCUAUAGGUAAUAUCAAUAGUCUUUUUUUUUGGGUGUCUUCUCCCAAAUGUUACCACGACAAAUCACAUCUAAUCUAAAUUUGGAAAGCCAGAUAUAUAUAUAGGUAUAUAUAUACAUGCUUAGCAAAUAUAUUAUAGGCAAUUAGGCAUUACUAAUAAUCUAUGAUAAAUGGCAAAUUUUCUAGACCAAAACUUGAGGUUUAUUCGGCUGUUUUAGGUGUGAGUUGGUAAGGAAAGUGAACUAGACAUUUGAGAUGUCAUGUUCAAACUUCAAAGCUCCAUCCCAUUCUAUCCAAGACAUAUAACGCUUGAAGCAUCUCGAGCACCGUCCUUGAUUUUUUCAACUACAUUAAUCUGCUGUCAGACACAAGAUUCGAAUCUUGAAUCUAAUAGCGAGAAAGAAUCUUUCUCUGACUAUUAGACUGAACAUUAAUCCAUUUAGUUAAAACAACUGAAAUUAGUUUUAUUUUUCAAGAUAAAUGUCAAAUUUUGUUCAAUUAUUAUCGUCGAAUGAAUUAGGCAUUAUAUUCAUCUUUUCUUAAUCCAUCACAAGCUUUGGAUUAGUCCUUAUCGAAAGAUACAAAGAGAAAAAAAUGAUUUAUGAAAUUGGAAGGAAAUAAUAUUGUAACACGCUAAUCCACUAUUUAUUACAUAAGCUUGAACAAGUUGAGUGACUAGAGUAGUAAGUAUUACAUCAAGUUUUUCCUUCUCCCUUCCAUGGUUGAAAAGAACCAAAUAAUAAUGAUGGAAGAGUUUUAACUUUAAAGGUGAAUCUGAGCCAAACGCUGCUUGAAGGCUGAAGCUGCUACUUUUCGCACUUCAAAAAAACAUAUCGAAUGACAGAAACCUGUUAAAAGAUAAAAAGCUGAACAAGGGGAACAUGCAAGCGGCCCUGCCGACAAAGUCGAGUAAGCAGCAGAACACGUACUUCGCUUUUAUAUGUUCCUCCUACCUGUCUUGGUUCAAUCAUAUUCUUAAAUGAUAAAAAAGUAGAAAUUCUUAAAUGAUAAAAAAGUAGAAGCAGCAGGUGUCUGUGAAGAGACAUUCGUUUGAAUCUUGUGGCAGUUUAAUCUUCUCCCAUUCUCUUUGACUUUCUUUGAUUUACUUCUUCUCCUUAGAUAACUUUGUAAUUUUUUUUUUUGAAGGAAUCAAAAUUAGUCUUCAAAUAUUUAAAGAAAAUUUUCAAUUUUUUUGUUACAAAUGGUAAAAACUAUAGCACCCUACUCUAAAGGGGUGAAAGAAAUCUAAAUGGAUUAUGUAAGAUAUUGAAGAAAAAGACCUAUCUAAAUUAGAACAAUGCAGUGAUGCACCCUCUAGAUUAUUUUAGCGGUGGAGUGAGAAGUUUGAACUCCUGACAAACAUAUUCAUUUAUGAUGUAAGUCGCUCAAAUUUUAAGAACUUUCAUUAAGGGCGUGGAUUCAUUCCAUAAGCCCAACAAUUUUAUCCUUGUUCAGCUUUGUUAGUUUUUUGAGAUAAUUUCAAAAACCUCUACUUAGAUUUUUGAUAGUAUCAUUUAACGCUCUCAAACUUUAAAAAAAUAUCGCUUGUCUCCUCUAGUUUAAACUUUUUAUAACAUUUGUAACUAUUUCGAAAUAUAAAAUUGAAAAAAAAAAACUCAUUACGGGAAAGAAAAUAUAAUCUCACUCCAAAUUUGUCCUUUUCUUGUGGUCUCUUAAUUGUCAUAAUAUGUCACUUUCAUUUUCUUUGUAAGCUUGGUCGAUAUGAUUUUUUAAUGAAAAUUUAAAAGUUGAUAAUGGGGUUGAGAGGCACUUUUAAUAUAUUUUUUUAUCAUUUGUUUGGAUAAGAAAUACUAAAAUUUUUGAAAUUAUAAAUACUUUACAUUGCUUAUAAAAAUAACUUGAAAUGUGUUACAAUAAUGAAAAUAAAUUUUGGCACCAACUUGAAAAUAUCAUAAACAAGUUUGUAUAUGGUUUUUCGCAUUUUAUAUUUUUCUAGUUUUGAAGUAUUUAUAAAAUCCCUUAAAUUAGCUCAAAACAUUUUAUAGUAAUGAAAAUAAUGCUUUUGUAAUUUGCAAAAACCUCAAUUAACUUUCAAGCAUAAACUAUUUUGUAUAUUAAAAAAAUAAUUGCUGCUAUAUUUUAUCCCAUCAGAUUUAAACCUCCAUGCUCUUUGUUUUUGGUUUCAAAUUAUUAUCAAUAUACUCAGGUUUUGUACCAAAGAGUAAGACAAUAAAUUGAUAAAAUUCGAAUGAGAUUAUAUUCUCUCUUCUAAAAUGAGUUUUUUAAUAUUAUAUUUUGAAAUAGGUUGAGAAUGUUCCAAAAAGUUUAAAGUAGGGAUAGCAGGUCGUAUUUUUCAAAGUUUGGAGGUACUCAAUAAUACUGUUAGACAUCUUAAAGGAGGUUUUUGAAAUCAUCCCUAGUUUUUUUUUUCUUCCCUUGAACUUUGAUACUUUAUAUUGGGAGUUAGCUUGAAAUUUUAGAUUAUAUUUUGCCUUGUUUGGGAUUCUAGCUAUAAUAUUUGCCUUCUUUGGUAUUCUGGCUAUCUUUUUCAGUACUUUCAUGUUUUGGGUGCUAAGUUCCUACUAAAUACGUUGAAAACCAGCAAGCUGUUGGAUUAGGUGAUCGUGAUAGAUGGAGAUGUAAUUUUUUUUUUCUCGUAGUUGCACUUAUAGGUGAAGUCCAAGCAUUAGUACCUUGGAGUCGACAGCUGCCUAAAACGAAAAGUAAAAACAUGCAUACAGAUGGAGAAAGCUCAACGAACAUAACAUACACUAAUAAUCAUUUUAGGGUGAAGACUAAGAAAUAUAUCCUCUUUUGCUCUCUUAUUCAACUCGAAUUAGGCAGUCAAACCCACGAAGCUUUCAUUGGUAAUUAGUGGUAUGAUAAAUUUUUAUGCAUCAACUUGGAGGGUGGUUUUAACGCAUUAUUUGUCGCGCUUCCAAUGUGCCAUUGACCAAUAUAAUUAUCUCGUAGAGGCUCAAAAUUUUAAUCCAUGAUUAAGAUUUAAUUAUCCUAACAAAAAAAUUUAAUUACACUAUCACCAUCACAAUUUUAACUUGUCGAAAUUCAAUUGCGAAACACGAAUUCUUUUUAUUUUUUUUUAAGUAUGACUAGAAGCAACUCUUUUUUUUUUUUUUUUUAGGGUUUUCCGCAGGGAGUGGAUCCCGCAGACUAAUCCCCUGCCCCCUGCAACUUGCUGGCAACUCACACAAAUGAGUUCUCAGUACAGUACAAUUCAAUAACAUUACAACCCAUAAUUCAUAAAUAAUGGGAUAUAGUUAUUGAUAAACUCCCAUCGGUCAGUGUGACGAAACAUAAAAUUCUAAGCAUGUAUACAAAGUUUUUCUAACCAAUAAAAAAAAUCAAGAGUGCAUUAUCAAACCAUGAACUCAUGAGUUCAAAAAUUACUUUCAAUCUAAUUAUCAAACCUUGAAAUCUAAUUCAAGGGUUCAAACUUCAAAAUGUAUUUGUCUUCUUCUCAUAGGUCCUAUAAUGUGCUAAAAGAAACAGUAUCAAUAUAUAGCUUGUUUUUGUUGAUGUAGAAGCUUUGUUUGAGAUACUCUUGUCAUUUAAAGGUUGUUACAUAUAGUCUGAAACAAAGGAGAAUAGAUAGACAUCAGCAUUGCAAAGUCUAGCAGGAUGUUGGAUUCUAGUGUGAAGAGAGGAACUUUAGUCAUUGUAAGACAAAAUGAAUUAGGUGGAGAAAGUGGGGGGAAUAGAUACUUUGUAAAGUUACUUGCAAGAACAUUAUAGCAUGAAAAAAAGCUAGGUCAAUAAUAAUGGUUAUCUAAUUCAAAAUGGUAGGCCAACUGUCGAGCUAAAAAAAUUGGUUGGUUUUCAAGAGAAUCCAAUGUAUAAUUCCUGUGUCGCAAGUAUUUUAAGACUGCUGCUUCACGCUUGGAGUUUGGAAAUUGAAAUACCAGUCAACAAGAGAACAUCCUCGCGUGGAAUUAAAUGUCGAAAUUGCUAAGUCAACCCGGAUUUUCCAAUGUUUUUCCACGAUGCAGCCAAUAAUAUUUUCAUGCAUGACUAGAAUUUAUUGUAAAUCUAGGAAUAUGUCCUUUUUUUUAAAAUUGUAAAGAAUUUAAGGAUGAGAUAUAUUUAGCCAAAAAUAGAUAUCGUGACAUGGAAUGAAUCGAAAAUCAAGAACGCUUUCAAUAAAAAGAUCAACUCUCUCGCUCGCUGAAACAAUUGAAUUCUCGACGAUCCAAAGGAAAAUAAAUUCCGUGAUGUGAUUGAAUUCUUAUCACACAAUCAUUGUGACUACAUUCCACAACAAAUAUUUCAAAGUUCUAGCUAUAUUAGCCUUUUAAUUAGUUACGUAUUGAAAACAUGAAUAUCUUGCUUAGCUUGUGAACGUAAUUUUCUCUCAAACUUUUAUUUUUUUUAAUUUUUCCAAAAGCAGUAGUAAUAUUUGCUAGGGCUUUAAAUAGUCUUGCAGGCAUGCAGUUGGACAUCUUAAGCCUGUCACUGUUACAAAACCAUCCAAAUUUAUGCUGGUUUUGAAUUUGAAGCCAUAUUAAAUCGAGAGACAUGCUGUUUAUAUUUCGUUAACUUUGAUAAUACUUCAACACUUUCAAUUCAGUAUCUCUCUCAAUUAAUAUGUUCCAGAUUCAGUAACCAGAAGAGAAAUAUGCUACUGAGCAAUCUGUACAUGUCUGAACAUCAAUGACCAAAACCAUACUUCAUUCAUUAUUAUUUGCAUCUGGCAGGGAUCAUAUACUGGUUUACAAAGCACAAAACUGAGAAUAUAGAUCUUGCCAUAUAGCAGCAUAUCAAUUACAGUGUAACAUCUGUUCUGAGAAUCUCUCUCUCUCUCUCUCUAUAUAUAUAUAUAUAUACGUGUUGCAAGUUGACCAGCAUGAUAAGAGAAAUGCCAUACAUGAUAGAGCCCACAACUCGAGCCAACUUAGAAAAAAAAAAAAUACUACCCUUCAGACAACUUGAUUAACUCUGAAACCACCAGCCUAUUCUAUCACUAUCUGACCUUGUCACAUUCACAAACACCACAAAGCCUGGAUUUUGCACAUAGCUGGACAGCAUUGAAGCCUUGAAACAUGUUUGCUCAGAACUCAAGAGCCAACAGUAAAGAGUACUUUCAGCUUCAAGCAGCAAGCUUUUAGUUCACAAAUUCUUCUGGGUAUUCUUUGAUUAUGGACUUCAUGUUAAAGAUUACGUAUCUAGUUGGGAAGUAGCAUAGUUUGGUUCAUGGCCUUGCGUUAUGGCGGCGCACGCUACUGGGAAAAUGAUUAAAAGAUGCAAAGCGAAAGUAAAGCAACUUGACUCUGCCCCUGAGGAAGAGAACCACAUGAAAGAACAUUAGUUAAAAAAACAAAAGGGAUGGUUGUCCUGAAUCCUGAGGUGUUCAUGGUUGGCGGGUGGGAGAAAAAUAUUGCAUACAUUACAUACAUGCCAAAGCCUUAAUCUGUACUAUUGAAUCAAGCAAAUGUGGUCUCACUUUUCUGCUCAAACAGGCUAAUACAAAUAAAAGUUGCGCCGCAGAAUAUUACCUAAGUUCUCUCUAGCAGGUGACUAGACAGUAGACAUUGAGCCUCAAAAGAGAUGAGGAGGCUAAGUGUAGAGCACAUGAGAUCAGAAACAUGCAAGAAUCAAAAAUGUGGUAUGAUUUACACAAAAAGAGGCCACCAUCAGAGUAAACAUAUAAAAACCAAAUCUACGUAUCAUAUACUAAAUUACACUUUCAUUGAGCUAUGGCAUUAUAGCCCCCAUAUAUCAGCAGUUAUAAACUAUAGUCGGCUCAAUCUGCUGGAAAGACGAGACACCUUCACAUGGCAAUCAACACUUUGGUCUCUGUGAGACUACUGCAGCAUGUAUGUUUUGUUAUGCGCAAACUCAUCAUGCCUGAUACGCUGUAGUCUAAAUAAAAGUGUCAAAAUAAAAAUAUAGUAUUAACUCAGACUUUGCCUAUAGAAAUAUCGAGAUCAUGAACAAGUCAAAAACACCUUUGAAUAAUUGACUACCACAGUAGUUGAUAUGAUUUCCCUGAGUAGAACCAGCCUUGGAUUGGUAAGGAAAAUGUACAGUUACCAAACGGACAUGUUUGCCUUAUUAGUCCUGCAACUUUUUAGAAGGGUUAAUGGUUCUUGCAGAAAAGGAAAUUCUCCUUUCCACCCAUACUGAAAGUGGAGAAGUUUUUCUACUCGUUUGUUGAUUGUUCUCCUUUUGUGGAAACCAAAAGAAGCACUGAAAAAACAACUCCACCAUAUCAUGUCAUGUCGCAAUGGAUAUAGCUCAUGAAACGCUUAAUUAGGAGAAAUGCACUUUGCACUAUUGUAUUCCAAAGGACAGCAAAAAAUCACAAGCCAAAAAUAGAACGCAUUCAAGAAAGAGGCAAGAGUGUAAGGGCAAAAAGUUGCUAUACUAUAAAGAAAAUGGUGUACUUAAUUGCCUCUGCGUUUGAAUGAAGCAUUUAUAGGCUGGAAAAAACACUUAAUAUAUAUUCUCUUCCUACAUAAUUCAUCCACAUCAGUUGAGGGCAAUCAUUUCUACCAUCAUUAUUGACUUAAAAAAUAUGAAAUAAUUGAUGAAACCCUCAACUAGAAGAAUCUUUUCAACUAAAAUAUGACAAAUUACAUCAAACAUAGAGCUACUAAGUUGUCCAUUACCAAUCACGCCAAAAAAAAAAAAAAUAGCCUUCCAAGGCUAAGCAUGCAACAUAUAUCACCAUCACAUAGAAUAAAGCUCUGAAUACCAAAAUAAAAACAAAGUACCUAAAGCCAUAUCUACUCGUCUAGGCAAACACCAUUUUCAAGCAUCCUCC